This 739-nucleotide ribosomal RNA is filed under the name uncultured bacterium. Its description in RNAcentral is "bacterial SSU rRNA". It matches the Rfam family "Bacterial small subunit ribosomal RNA", at positions 8 to 796 of the family's 1533-position model. The record is from RNAcentral.
AGAGUUUGAUCAUGGCUCAGAACGAACGCUGGCGGCAGGCUUAACACAUGCAAGUCGAACGCACCUUCGGGUGAGUGGCAGACGGGUGAGUAACGCGUGGGAACGUGCCCUUCAGUUCGGAAUAACCCAGGGAAACUUGGGCUAAUACCGGAUACGUGCGAGAGCAGAAAGAUUUAUCGCUGAAGGAUCGGCCCGCGUCUGAUUAGCUAGUUGGUGGGGUAAUGGCCCACCAAGGCGACGAUCAGUAGCUGGUCUGAGAGGAUGAUCAGCCACAUUGGGACUGAGACACGGCCCAAACUCCUACGGGAGGCAGCAGUGGGGAAUAUUGGACAAUGGGCGCAAGCCUGAUCCAGCCAUGCCGCGUGAGUGAUGAAGGCCUUAGGGUUGUAAAGCUCUUUCGGCGGGGACGAUAAUGACGGUACCCGCAGAAGAAGCCCCGGCUAACUUCGUGCCAGCAGCCGCGGUAAUACGAAGGGGGCUAGCGUUGUUCGGAAUCACUGGGCGUAAAGGGCGCGUAGGCGGCUUGAUAAGUCGGGGGUGAAAGCCUGUGGCUCAACCACAGAAUUGCCUUCGAUACUGUCUGGCUUGAGACCGGAAGAGGUAAGUGGAACUGCGAGUGUAGAGGUGAAAUUCGUAGAUAUUCGCAAGAACACCAGUGGCGAAGGCGGCUUACUGGUCCGNNNNUGACGCUGAGGCGCGAAAGCGUGGGAGCAAACAGGAUUAGAUACCCNNGUAGUCC